UGGUGUAACUUAUUUUCUUUCGGUUUAACUUGUAUAUUUGUGAAAGAUUGGGAAUAAAAUGUAGCUUCACCAGCCCAUACCAUCCACAAACCAAUGGCUUGGCUGAAAACGCUAAUAAAUCCAUCAAAAGGAUUCUCUUACAUAUCUAAUUUGUAACACUAAGGAUCCCUUGAUCUACAUUUCAUGGUUUGCUUCACUGGAAACUAUAAUCGCAUUUCUAAUUUUUUUUUCGAUGAAUACAGAGUAAAAUUCUUCAAAAUGAUAGAUUAUUGUUUCCUUACCACACACCAGGUCAUUGGGUUCUUGCGGUAAGAUGUUUUGUAUUGUACUUCUGGAUUAUGGGCAAUAAAUGUGGCACUAUAUACGAGAUUUGUAACACAGCUGGGUAGCCGUGAUAUAAUUUCCCGUGUUAGGGGUUUUCAGUGAGUUCAGUGCAUGCAAAGGAAAGUGGAAUGUGAAUGUAAAAAAUAAAAUGCUACUGUGAAGUUAUGUUGUUAAUGUAAACUUGGAAGAAUACAGUCUGUAACGAAUUGAUCAAUGGUUUCACAAUAUGCUGUUCUCUUGUGUGUUAGUGAGACAUUACAAAUGAGAAUAUGUUAAUGGAAUGAUUUUUGAUAAAUCAUUAUAAAAUUCUUGAAAUCAUCACAUUACCAAUAUAAUUUGCACAUAUAUUUACACUUACAGAUAGUCUUGAUGUAAAAAAAGGAAUUGUUAAUAAUUGACCCCUUGUGUGAUGAGAUGAGAUAUGAAAGAACAUGCCUGAGGAAUUGGAGGUGAUUUAUUAGAUACUCACGUUUACAGUGGACAUGAACGGUUACUGUGAAAAAAAAUGUCAGGGAAUGUAACAAUAGUGAGACUAAUAUCUUCCUAUUAGUUACAAAUAAAAAUUGAAACAGCAUGUACUUGUACUGAAUAUGCUUAGUAAUGGACUUAGAGUGAACUUAUGUGAUUUGAGUCUGCGUAACGACUUCAUAGAAUGUGGACACGAAACUGUAGCAUGUUGCAUGAUUGAGAAGGUGCUAUUAUCAACAUGGGGCACAGCAGAUCAGGUGAUACACUGUGUAAGAGUGAGACAAUAAUAUGAAAGCAAGUGUGUGUGAGCAAUAAGUCAUUGCAAUCAUUAAUUUAAACAGAGAUGGAAUGGAUUUGUACCUAUGUCCAGAAAUGGAAAGCAAUGCUCAUUUAUGCAGUCCACUAAUGUACUCUCUAAAAAUUUCAGAUACUUCAUCAAAUGAUUAACUAGCAAAUCCUCCUCUGAUUGGAAGAGUAAAAUUGUUCAGCAUCCCAGACAAAGUGAUGGCCAGAACUGCGGACCACUCAUCUUAAAGGUCCAGUGUGAUUCUUGCAAGAGGUAGGCAUAUCUGCCCUGCAUUCCAGAAGGAACCAAUCCAGAAACCCUGACUGCUGAGAAGAAAGAAUACAAGUGCAAAAAGUGUGCAUAGUUCACUUCUUUACCAAAAAAGAACAUCGUUUAAAUGCUUGUUGUUCAAAACAUCAUGGAACCAAAAGAAAACUUUUUAUUUAUAUACCAGAUUAUAAUA
Molecule: long non-coding RNA, 1541 nt
Organism: Trachemys scripta elegans
Lineage: Eukaryota; Metazoa; Chordata; Testudines; Emydidae
Exons: 3
Source: RefSeq, a predicted model, not a curated record